Molecule: ribosomal RNA, 253 nt
Filed under: uncultured bacterium
Lineage: Bacteria
Description: partial 16S ribosomal RNA
Rfam family: Bacterial small subunit ribosomal RNA
Source: RNAcentral
UACGUAGGGUGCAAGCGUUAUUCGGAAUUACUGGGCGUAAAGCGUGCGCAGGCGGUUAUGUAAGACAGAUGUGAAAUGCCCGGGCUUAACCUGGGAACUGCAUUUGUGACUGCAUGGCUAGAGUUUGGCAGAGGGGGGUAGAAUUCCACGUGUAGCAGUGAAAUGCGUAGAUAUGUGGAGGAACACCGAUGGCGAAGGCAGCCCCCUGGGUCAAGACUGACGCUCAUGCACGAAAGCGUGGGGAGCAAACAGG